RNAcentral lists this unclassified non-coding RNA (380 nucleotides) under uncultured bacterium. RNAcentral describes it as "contains 16S-23S intergenic spacer region". The record is from RNAcentral.
UCCGGUUUGGCACCGGCAGUCCUCCCAGAGUCCCCGACUUGACUCGCUGGCAACUGGGAGCGGGGGUUGCGCUCGUUGCGGGACUUAACCCAACAUCUCACGACACGAGCUGACGACAGCCAUGCAGCACCUGUGCACGGGCUCCGAAGAGGGGCCGAUGUUUCCACCGGCUUUCCCGUGCAUGUCAAGCCUAGGUAAGGUUCUGCGCGUUGCGUCGAAUUAAACCACAUGCUCCACCGCUUGUGCGGGCCCCCGUCAAUUCCUUUGAGUUUCAGCCUUGCGGCCGUACUCCCCAGGCGGGGAACUUAAUGCGUUAGCUUCGGCGCGGACGGAGUCGACACCGCCCACACCUGGUCUACAUCGUUUAUGGCUAGGACUAC